This is a long non-coding RNA of Loxodonta africana (African savanna elephant), 2122 nucleotides long. RefSeq lists it as uncharacterized. The transcript is spliced from 4 exons. Lineage: Eukaryota; Metazoa; Chordata; Mammalia; Proboscidea; Elephantidae. The record is from RefSeq and is a predicted model, not a curated record.
GUUAAGCACCCAGCUGCUAACCAAAAGGGCAGUGGUUCGAACCCACUAGUGGCUCCAGGAGAGAAAAGAUCCCGUGAUCUGCCCCGUCAAGAUUACAGCCUAGGAAACACUAUGGGGCAGUUGUACGCUGCCCUGUAGGGUUGCCAGGAGCUGGGAUUGGCUUGGCGAUGUACAGCAACAACAACAUCUUCACAACUUUUCUAUAAAUCGAAAACUACUCUCAAAUAAAAAAGGUUUGUUUUUUUGUUUUUUGUUAAUUAUCCAUUGCAUGCCAGGUAGUCAGCAGGGUGCUUUUUGCUCAUUAAAGCACAAGUUGCGGUGGAGUCAACUCCAACUUAGUCUGGACUCUGGCCUCUAACUUUUCAGUUACCAGCCUAGUGUGUCAGUAAAAGCAAGAAAGAGAGGCACCCAGUUCACCUGUGGGAUUAGGGAGGAUUUCCUGGAUGAGGUGACACCUGAGUUGAGUCCUACUGAAUGGAAAGGAAUUAUGAGUAGAAUUUGUGGGGUAUCAGGCCAGGAAGAAGAAAGAUCUUAAAUAAAAGCAGUAAGAGGUAAAAUAGCCCCCUGCAAGAGAAAUGGUAAAAGGUCAGAUACUGCCAGGCAGGGAAUGCGUAGAGUUGAGGUUGACAAGGAGGACAAGAGACUCCGUCUUAGAGUGUUGUGUAUAUUCUGCUAGAUGGCUUGGACUUACUUGUAAAUGACAGGGAAGGGAGAAUGCCAUGGUUAGAUCUUAGUUAUAGAUGGAUCACUUUGACACAGUUGGGAUGACAAACAGGAAGUGUCAGGUAAGAUGCAAAAAGGCCAGUUAGUAGGUGAUAGCAAAGGCCCAGGUGAGAGAUACUAGGGCCCUAUUUUAAGCCAGGGCAGUGGCACUUCAGAUUAGGGAAAUUGGUGUGUGUUCAUUUACAGGGUCUGGAGACUGAGCAACAAUAAAACUCUUGCAUUUCUUUUCUUUCCAGAAUGUACAGUCUGAGUCCCAGAUCAAUAAAAGAGAAGGGAGUCAAGAAGAAUAUUCUAAGGACUAGUUUUUAAAUUUGACUGGUGUCUCCUGUGUUAUAAACCUUGGGAGCCUGAGUUUGCCAGAAAAGAACCAAAGAGAAUAGGAAUCUUAACAUUUAUUUAUGUAUCACAGUGGCAGCGUUCAUUUGCAAUAGUAAUUAAAUGCAAUUAUUAUUAUAGUAGAAUGAAUAUGGGAUUUGGAGUCAAGCCAAGCAAGGUUGAAUUCUACUUCCUCUGCUUAGCUGGAUGAUCUUGCUUGAAUCUCUCUGAGCCUUAGUUUCCUCAUCUGUAAAUUGGGAAUAAUACUACUACCUAGCUCUUAUGAUUAUUAUAAGGAUAAGAGUUACUGCAUGAAUGUUCCUGGCAUACAGACAUAUGUCACCUGUUAUCACUAGUUUAAAUUUCUUCAGUUUUAUUGUUUAUUUUCCCAUAAAUUUCACUUAAUCUUUCAGCUAUAUUUUAAGGGCAAAUUUUAACAUUCCUUCUUUACAGAAAGAAACUUAAGUACAGAGAAGUAAAAAGAUUUGACCAAAAUGAAAGAGCUCCUCUAACAGAUUUUGUGACUCCAAAACUAGGAUUUUCUCCACUACAUUUCAAUCAGACAGAGAUAAGUUAAAUAUGAAGCCAGUCCUUGGCCAAUUACCUUUUUCAUUCAUUUAACAGAUACUUAUUUGAAAUGCUAUUCUUUGGCAAACACCAUUGUAUACGAUCAAGAUAUAGCAGCAACCACAUAGACAAAAUUCCUGCCUCAUGGACUUGACAUCCUAAUUGAAGAGACAUACAAACAAAUAAAUAUAAGACAUAAUGUCAAGGAUUGGAAUCCCUGGAUGGUACGAAUCAUUAAGCACUGGACUGCUGACCAAAACGCUGGCAGGUCAAACCCACCCAAAGGCACCUCUGAACUGAACCACUUCGCCCUAACCCCCCCAGGCUGAGCCCAGUGAUGUUCCGUGGAAAGGCCUAUAGGAAAUUCAGUGGCUACAUGGGAAAUCUAGUUGAAGGGCCUCGCAUACAAGAGGGCAAUUCUACAGAGCCGGGUGUGGUCACCAAUCAGGGCAGCUGGGGAAUGGGUACUCCAGCUCAGCAGAGAGGUUCCACCUUGGCAGCAACAGCUCCUCCUACA